AUGUAAGGGCGUAUGGGGGAUGCCUAGGCUCUCAGAGGCGAAGAAGGACGUGAUAAGCUGCGAAAAGCUGCGGGGAUUGGCACAUACGAAUAGAUCCGCAGAUAUCCGAAUGGGGCAACCCACUAGUUUGAAGGACUAGUAUCCUUAUAAAGGAGGCGAACCCGCUGAACUGAAACAUCUAAGUAGGCGGAGGAGAAGAAAACAAAAGUGAUUCCGAGAGUAGUGGCGAGCGAAAUUGGAACAGCCCAAACCCAUGUUGUUACGGCAAUAUGGGGGUUGUAGGACCCGAUGUUGGUUGUUAAAUGGAACCGGAAGUAUUUGGAAAGAUACGCCAUAGAGUGUGAUAGUCACGUAUGGGUAACGUUUAAUAAAUCAUAGGGAAAUCCUGAGUAGGGCGGGGCACGUGGAACCCUGUCUGAAUCUGCCGGGACCAUCCGGUAAGGCUAAAUACUCCUGAGAGACCGAUAGUGAACCAGUACCGUGAGGGAAAGGUGAAAAGAACCGUGAAUAACGGAGUGAAAUAGACCCUGAAACCAUACGCUUACAAGCGGUCGGAGCCCUUUUGGGUGACGGCGUGCCUUUUGCAUAAUGAGCCUACGAGUUACUUUUACCAGCGAGGAUAAGUAUUUCAGAUACGAAUUCGUAGCGAAAGCGAGUCUUAAUAGGGCGAUAUAGUUGGUAGUAGUAGACGCGAAACCUGGUGAUCUACCCAUGGGCAGGUUGAAGCGCUGGUAACACAGCGUGGAGGACCGAACCGGUUGUCGUUGAAAAGACUUCGGAUGACCUGUGGGUAGGGGUGAAAGGCCAAUCAAACUGGGAAAUAGCUCGUACUCCCCGAAAUGUAUUUAGGUACAGCGUCGUAUAUAGUUUAUUAGAGGUAGAGCUACUGAUUGGAUGCGGGGGUUUCACCGCCUACCAAUUCCUGACAAACUCCGAAUGCUAAUAAAUGUUUUGCGGCAGUGAGGGCAUGGGUGCUAAGGUCCAUGUCCGAGAGGGAAAGAACCCGGACCAUCAGCUAAGGUCCCCAAAUAUAUGCUAAGUUGACCAAACGCGGUCUGACUGCACUGACAGCUAGGAUGUUGGCUUGGAAGCAGCCAUACAUUUAAAGAGUGCGUAACAGCUCACUAGUCGAGCGGUCGGGCAUGGAUAAUACUCGGGCAUAAGCAUAUUACCGAAGCUAUGGACUUAAUAAAUUAAGUGGUAGGGGAGCAUUCUAAUGGCGUUGAAGGUGAACUGUGAGGUUUGCUGGAGCGAUUAGAAAAGAAAAUGUAGGCAUAAGUAACGAUAAGGCAGGCGAGAAACCUGCCCGCCGAAAGAUCAAGGUUUCCUCAGCUAUGCUAAUCAGCUGAGGGUUAGUCGGGGCCUAACGCGAAUCCGAAUUGGAGUAGUGGAUGGACCACAGGUUAAUAUUCCUGUACUUUCAUAACGAUAGAAGUGACGGAAUGAGGUAAGCUCUGCGUACUGACGGAAUAGUACGUUGAAGGUGCUGUUAUGGCAUUGAUAGUACACUAAGGCUUCGGCUGCGGUGAUAAUGAGCAGAUAACGUUUCCAAGAAAAGCGAGUUAUGAAACCCGUACCGUAAACCGACACAGGUGAUUGGGAUGAGAAUUCUAAGGCGCUCGAGAGAUUCAUGGCUAAGGAACUAGGCAAAAUAGACCUGUAACUUCGGGAGAAAGGUCGCCUCCCUCCGGGGAGGCCGCAGUGAAAAGGUCCAGGCGACUGUUUAUCAAAAACACAGGACUCUGCUAAAUUGAAAGAUGACGUAUAGGGUCUGACACCUGCCCGGUGCUGGAAGGUUAAGAGGAGAUGUUAGUUUCGGCGAAGCAUUGAAUUGAAGCCCCAGUAAACGGCGGCCGUAACUAUAACGGUCCUAAGGUAGCGAAAUUCCUUGUCGGGUAAGUUCCGACCUGCACGAAUGGUGUAACGAUCUGGACACUGUCUCAGCCAUGAGCUCGGUGAAAUUGUAGUAUCGGUGAAGAUGCCGAUUACCCGCAGUGGGACGAAAAGACCCUGUGCACCUUUACUAUAUCUUCGUAUUGGUCUUGGAUAAGUGAUGCGUAGGAUAGGUGGGAGACUUAGAAGCGGCUAUUCCGGUAGUUGUGGAGUCGUUGUUGAAAUACCACCCUUUGCUUAUCUGAGGUCUAACUCCGCAUAGAGUGGAGGACAAUUCGUGGAGGGUAGUUUGACUGGGGUGGUCGCCUCCAAAAGCGUAACGGAGGCUUCUAAAGGUUCCCUCAGCACGCUUGGUAACCGUGCGUAGAGUGCAAUGGUAUAAGGGAGCUUGACUGAGAGACUAACAAGUCGAUCAGGUACGAAAGUAGAGCAUAGUGAUCCGGUGGUUCCGUAUGGAAGGGCCAUCGCUCAAAGGAUAAAAGGUACGCCGGGGAUAACAGGCUGAUCUCCCCCAAGAGCUCACAUCGACGGGGGGGUUUGGCACCUCGAUGUCGGCUCGUCACAUCCUGGGGCUGGAGAAGGUCCCAAGGGUUGGGCUGUUCGCCCAUUAAAGUGGCACGCGAGCUGGGUUCAGAACGUCGUGAGACAGUUCGGUCUCUAUCUACUGUGGGCGUUAGAAAUUUGCGUGGUGCUGACUCUAGUACGAGAGGACCGAGUUGGACCAACCUCUGGUGUAUCAGUUGUUCCGCCAGGAGCAUGGCUGAGUAGCUACGUUGGGAAGGGAUAAGUGCUGAAAGCAUAUAAGUACGAAACCCGCCACAAGAUGAGAUUUCUUUUAAGGGUCGUGGGAGAUGACCACGUUGAUAGGUUACAGGUGUAACGGCAGUAAUGUCAUAGCCGAGUAAUACUAAUAACCCGUAGACUUA
This 2819-nucleotide ribosomal RNA is filed under the name Capnocytophaga stomatis. RNAcentral describes it as "23S ribosomal RNA". It matches the Rfam family "Bacterial large subunit ribosomal RNA". The record is from RNAcentral. Lineage: Bacteria; Pseudomonadati; Bacteroidota; Flavobacteriia; Flavobacteriales; Flavobacteriaceae.